This is a non-coding RNA of Paramuricea clavata, 282 nucleotides long. Lineage: Eukaryota; Metazoa; Cnidaria; Anthozoa; Malacalcyonacea; Plexauridae. The record is from the annotation of a GenBank genome assembly.
UACCUGAUAGGUGACAAUAAUCUUCAACUGCUAAAGUGGAUGUAGUUAUCUUCUUAGUCCAAAGCAAUCACUGGCAUUUCAUUUCCCAGGUAAUGGUUUUAUACCCUUUGGCUGCGGCUGAUCUACGAAUGUAAACACUUUUGCGUGACGUAAGAACGAUCAGUCUGACGUCGUGAGCACUGCAAAUAGUCUCAUGACGUUUACGUCAAUCUUGAGGUAUCUGUUACAAUUUGUGAGCUUCCGUUGUAAACUAUGCAUUUAAAAUCUCGAACGAUAUGUAUA